RNAcentral lists this ribosomal RNA (1346 nucleotides) under uncultured bacterium. Its description in RNAcentral is "partial 16S ribosomal RNA". It matches the Rfam family "Bacterial small subunit ribosomal RNA", at positions 28 to 1381 of the family's 1533-position model. The record is from RNAcentral.
GACGAACGCUGGCGGCGUGCUUAACACAUGCAAGUCGAACGGAAAGGCCCUGCUUUUGUGGGGUGCUCGAGUGGCGAACGGGUGAGUAACACGUGAGUAACCUGCCCUUGACUUUGGGAUAACUUCAGGAAACUGGGGCUAAUACCGGAUAGGAGCUCCUGCUGCAUGGUGGGGGUUGGAAAGUUUCGGCGGUUGGGGAUGGACUCGCGGCUUAUCAGCUUGUUGGUGGGGUAGUGGCUUACCAAGGCUUUGACGGGUAGCCGGCCUGAGAGGGUGACCGGCCACAUUGGGACUGAGAUACGGCCCAGACUCCUACGGGAGGCAGCAGUGGGGAAUAUUGCACAAUGGGCGGAAGCCUGAUGCAGCAACGCCGCGUGCGGGGUGACGGCCUUCGGGUUGUAAACCGCUUUCGCCUGUGACGAAGCGUGAGUGACGGUAAUGGGUAAAGAAGCACCGGCUAACUACGUGCCAGCAGCCGCGGUGAUACGUAGGGUGCGAGCGUUGUCCGGAUUUAUUGGGCGUAAAGGGCUCGUAGGUGGUUGAUCGCGUCGGAAGUGUAAUCUUGGGGCUUAACCCUGAGCGUGCUUUCGAUACGGGUUGACUUGAGGAAGGUAGGGGAGAAUGGAAUUCCUGGUGGAGCGGUGGAAUGCGCAGAUAUCAGGAGGAACACCAGUGGCGAAGGCGGUUCUCUGGGCCUUUCCUGACGCUGAGGAGCGAAAGCGUGGGGAGCGAACAGGCUUAGAUACCCUGGUAGUCCACGCUGUAAACGGUGGGUACUAGGUGUGGGGUCCAUUCCACGGGUUCCGUGCCGUAGCUAACGCUUUAAGUACCCCGCCUGGGGAGUACGGCCGCAAGGCUAAAACUCAGAGGAAUUGACGGGGCCCCGCACAAGCGGCGGAGCAUGCGGAUUAAUUCGAUGCAACGCGUAGAACCUUACCUGGGUUUGACAUGGAUCGGGAGUGCUCAGAGAUGGGUGUGCCUCUUUUGGGGUCGGUUCACAGGUGGUGCAUGGCUGUCGUCAGCUCGUGUCGUGAGAUGUUGGGUUAAGUCCCGCAACGAGCGCAACCCUUGUUCACUGUUGCCAGCACGUUAUGGUGGGGACUCAGUGGAGACCGCCGGGGUCAACUCGGAGGAAGGUGGGGAUGACGUCAAGUCAUCAUGCCCCUUAUGUCCAGGGCUUCACGCAUGCUACAAUGGCUGGUACAGAGAGUGGCGAGCCUGUGAGGGUGAGCGAAUCUCGGAAAGCCGGUCUCAGUUCGGAUUGGGGUCUGCAACUCGACCUCAUGAAGUCGGAGUCGCUAGUAAUCGCAGAUCAGCAACGCUGCGGUGAAUACGUUCCCGGGGCU